This 514-nucleotide long non-coding RNA is filed under the name Vitis vinifera (wine grape). Its description in RNAcentral is "long non-coding RNA (VVIN_LNC001105)". Lineage: Eukaryota; Viridiplantae; Streptophyta; Magnoliopsida; Vitales; Vitaceae. The record is from RNAcentral.
GUGUGUCUUCUUCACUGAAUUCCCAAUCGUGUAAAGAUCAAAUGGUUUCAAGGACCUGAUAUCAAUAACCUCAGGGUCAUACCCCUUGUUCACCAAUGUUUUGGCAGCCUGCAUCACAUGAUACCUCAUCCUAGAAUAGGUUAAAAUGGUGACAUGUUCCCCAGGUCUUACCAUCUCUGCUUCCUCGAGUGAUAACACAUACUCUUCAUCUGGAAUCCUCUCCUUGAGAUUGUAAAGCAAAACAUGCUCAAAAAGGAUCACCGGGUUUUCACUCCGGAUUGCAGCUUUCAUCAAGCCCUUGGCAUUGUAAGGGGUUGAGCAUGCCACCAUUUGGAUUCCAGGUAUUGAUUGGAAAUAUGAUUCAAGGCGUUGUGAGUGUUCAGCCCCAAGCUGCCGACCAACUCCACCAGGUCCUCUGAUAACCACUGGUAUUUUGAACUGGCCACCAGAUGUAUAGUGGAGCAUGCCACAGUUGUUGGAGAUCUGGUUGAAAGCUAAAAGGAGAAAUCCCAUG